RNAcentral lists this ribosomal RNA (429 nucleotides) under uncultured bacterium. Its description in RNAcentral is "bacterial SSU rRNA". It matches the Rfam family "Bacterial small subunit ribosomal RNA", at positions 28 to 421 of the family's 1533-position model. The record is from RNAcentral.
GAUGAACGCUGGCGGCGUGCCUAACACAUGCAAGUCGAACGAGAAGUUAACCGCUGAUUCCUUCGGGAUGAGGAGGUUAGCAGAAAGUGGCGAACGGGUGAGUAACGCGUGGGUAAUCUACCCUGUAAGUGGGGGAUAACCCUCCGAAAGGAGGGCUAAUACCGCAUAAUAUCUUCACUUCUAAAAGAAGAGAAGAUUAAAGAUGGCCUCUGUCUUAAGCUAUCACUUCAGGAUGAGCCUGCGUCCUAUUAGUUAGUUGGUGGGGUAAUGGCCUACCAAGACCACAAUGGGUAGCCGGUCUGAGAGGAUGUACGGCCACACUGGGACUGAGAUACGGCCCAGACUCCUACGGGAGGCAGCAGUGGGGAAUAUUGCGCAAUGGGGGAAACCCUGACGCAGGGACGCCGCGUGGAUGAUGAAGGCCUUUGG